UGGCAAACAAACCGGCCCUCGGAUUUGCAGCCGAUGUAGCCCAGAGCUGCCUGAAUGAAGCGGCUUUGUAAAUAUCUGGGCAGGAUGACCUGCAGCCCUGUGCACCAUGAAAAACAAGAUCAGGAUGCGAGCCGUGGGGGAAAAUACAGUUGAACAUUCCAAGGGAACUGUUGCCUGAUGUUUGGGCCGUAGCACCUGCAAAUCCUGGGGUAAACCACAAGCCUUGGAUUGGCCGACUGCUGGGAUCGACAUGAGCUCCGUGACCCUGGAAGCUGUAAAGGGUUAGAAGAAUCCCUGCUGCUGCUGAUUUCUUCCCGAGACAGACUGACUUCUGGCGCUGCUCUAAACUUUAGCACGCGGACACGAGCUGCCCGUAGGAGCCAUUAAGCUAGCGACACCAUCUGUACAACUGCGUGCCUGAAGCUGAACAGCAACACAAAGUUUGACCACAGGGGGUCCUCGACUUGCAUCAGUGUUCCGUUCCAUGGUGCGACGCGACUCAAUUUCCGCAGCUCACAUACUGUAUGUAAGUACCUACCGAACAACACAGUGUUAACGACAAAAUCGAGCCGAUGUCAAUAGACAUUAUCCGUAAACUCCCGGGAAACACGAUGCGACGCGACCCCCCCCAAAAAAAAAUCUCUUGUGACCCACCUGAGGGUCGCGACCCAGUCUUUGGGAAACAAUGCCUUCUCAUCAACUCUAAAUGGUAAUAAGAACUUAAGAAAACGAUGACCGUGACUUUUUUAUUGGUCGCGUGUACCUUGCAACCGACAGCUUAGCUUAGCUUAGCUUGGAAACCAAACAUCGUUUAACCGUGUGCUUUAAUGCCACCCUCGUACUGUUUCUGAGGCUAUACUGAAACUGUCGGUCACAAUGCACCCUUCUUUAUAAUUUAAACUCCUGCAGUUAACCUUUAAGGAGGAUCUUCGUCAGCCGGGCCUACGACAAUUUACUGUAUAUGUCAAGCACGGAAUUAGAGCUGAGGGACGAAGCUUUUUUUUUUACGCAGUUGAGACAAACCUGAGAAAACACCUGUUUUUUAUUAUUGUUAUUAUUUCUGAUUAGUGUUGACAGGAUGUUGAAGCCUUUCUGUAUCACUGCUCAAGCUUGUUAGCGGUUUCACCAUUACAGGAAGAGGCAGAGCAACAACAAAAAAAAAAAACGUAUGGGAAAUGAAAUGCUGGCACGGUUUAUAAAUGAACCCGGCGUUGCACGACUGACGGCAAACAGAAAAAACCCACCAAGAGAUCUCUGCAGAACUAUUCGUGGCC
Long non-coding RNA from Cynoglossus semilaevis (tongue sole), 1274 nucleotides. RefSeq lists it as uncharacterized. The transcript has 6 exons. The record is from RefSeq and is a predicted model, not a curated record. NCBI's taxonomy places the organism in Eukaryota, Metazoa, Chordata, Actinopteri, Pleuronectiformes, Cynoglossidae.